GGCCAAGAAAGCAUUAGCCAGGGUUGGGCCUUCAGAUCAAGCUGACGGAGCAGCAGAGUGAUCUUUGUGUCUGGCCCCAAAUGACAAACCGUUCUAAGUGCGAUUGCGAUUUGAUUGCAGGAGUAAUACGAUUUAUGAAUGGAGAUAUGCUUCGAGUGCAAUGCCAUUAUAUUAUAUUCAGAUAUUCUUAAAUGGUAAAUCGAUUUGGAUACAGUUUGAACGUUAUUUCAGCCUCUAUCUAUAUUGUUUUGUAAUUCCAGUUUAUACCAUACUAGGUUCAGAUCCGCACGUACGUUUGUCAACAUAUUUUUGAUAUAUAAUUUAUAACCUAGCUCAUAUUAGUUU
Molecule: long non-coding RNA, 345 nt
Filed under: Capsella grandiflora
Lineage: Eukaryota; Viridiplantae; Streptophyta; Magnoliopsida; Brassicales; Brassicaceae
Description: long non-coding RNA (CGRA_LNC000304)
Source: RNAcentral